This is a long non-coding RNA of Ipomoea triloba (trilobed morning glory), 1217 nucleotides long. RefSeq lists it as uncharacterized. The transcript is spliced from 4 exons. The record is from RefSeq and is a predicted model, not a curated record. NCBI's taxonomy places the organism in Eukaryota, Viridiplantae, Streptophyta, Magnoliopsida, Solanales, Convolvulaceae.
UGUAUAGUAAAACGAAGAAGGCCUCAAAAUGAAGCCUGCAAGGCAUGAGAGGAGAUGAAGAAGAUCCAUGGAGGGAUCAGUAUGUAAGGCGAAGAGAUAAUGCGUAGAAAGACUAAAAAAUCUCUGGAGUAGACGACCUCUUGACGGACGGAAAUACUAACGAUGGACUAAAUGUGGAACACAUUAAAUAAUAGUGAUCGUAAUUUGGUAAAAUUAAGUAAGGUGGACUAAAAUUGUGACCGCUGCAUAACCUAGAUCUGGUUCGGCAGCAGCGACAGUGAGUGUGGCGUUGAAACAGGUAUUUUUUUAUGCUUCCCACUUCCUCUUAUCCCUUUAGUUUUGCUUCUGUUCAUUUUAUCUGGGCUUAGUGUUUCUGCUGAGAGAUUGGACUUGGAGAAUGAGUUGAGAGAUUGUACUGUGAAUGAAUGUAAUGUAUCUUCAAUUUGCUGAUAGUGUAAUUAGCUUGAAGCUAUCAUUGGUUAGUGUUUUUGAACUUGAAAAUUUUUCAAGAAAUUAAAGAUCAUGCAGCAGUUCACGCUGGGCACUUUGCAUGCAGAAACUAGUCAGUCACUCAUCUCAAGAAGCAUGAGCUAAAGACAAGUUAUUGCCAGAGCUGGUUUAGAUUGGCCAGGCCAAUGAUGGGUAGAGGAUGUUGUUUGCAUAAUGAAUAAUAUAAUUCUGCAACUUUGGCUGAGUUAUUGUUCACUCUACAUGCUUCUCAAAUUCGUAUAGAUCUGCCUACUCUUACUGCUAAAGAUACACAUACAGGACUAUCCGACUGAUUGAGUUUAUUACCCUAAGUUCACAGGUGAAUGGGCAUGCUUUGAAGUCAUUUCCACAGAACGGAACGGGAUCCAAGGCCAAAAGGAAGCAACAAACGAAGAAGCAACCAUGCAGGAUCCAUCCACGAGGGCUUCACACGUGAAGGGAGCAUAGACCAAUUCCAGUACGCGUCCACGCCCCCAUCCACGCGUGGAUGCAGCAUGGAUCGGCCAUUAAGGGCAAUCUCGGGAUUUUGACUUUAUUUAUGAUGGCUAUUUAAACCCUUCCCCUGCAUUUUUAGAGGGGAGCCCUAAUUUUCUAGAUCUGAAAUCUCUUUGUUCUCUCCCCUUUGGGGGAAAACCCCCAUUAUCCCUUAACUUAGAUUGAUUCUCCAAUGGUAGAUCUAGCUAGAUGAUGAAAGCAAAGAUGUACUAGGAUUCUUAGCUUCGAAUGGU